AAAAUGGAGUCUGAGUCCUGAACAGUCCCAGUUCUGAUCACAUGGUCUGCAGCCCCUCCCACAACAUAGAGUAAAGGAAAACUGCAAACCAAUACACACAUAUACAAUACAGUAAGCAAUCUGAAUUUUAUACAUAACAAAUAACUAGUAGAGGCUUGAAGAAGGUUGCUAUUUCCAACACAAAACAGGUUGUUCCUGUAUAUCUACCAACGAUUUUGAACCAGAAUUCAGUUUCAUUAAGCUGGAGAUGGACCUUCAUAUAUAGCAACAAGCAGUUGCCAGGGGAGACGGAAGCCUUUCCUUGUCUACACCGGACUGAUUCCGGAAUGAGUCAGCAAGCAAAACCAUGGACUAAGGUUCCACGUUCACCACCGUAUUCCCAUCAAGCACUGUCUCUUUUCUUUUGUCCCUCCUGACCUCAAGCUUGAGAUGUGAGUGACCAGGGCCACAGCCAAGUUGACCUCGUAUUGCAUCAGUUGCAUUUGCAAAAGAAUGUGCCCAUUUGUGUCUGUUAUGUGUGUUCCUCAACUCCAGGCAGCCUGCGUAUGACAAAGUUUUCAAACUAUUCGCUUCUUGAGGAAGUUCCGCUGCAUAAUGAGCGUGUCUCAAAUGGCUGUAUUGAAAUGCAAAUCAUUGUUGCUUUGAUUUUCUUCUGCAAAGGAUGAUUAUUCUUGCCUCCGACUCCCAGAAAAAUGGUAUGCAGGAAGUGAGGGACGUGGGAAUGGGGUAAAAAGGGUUGGACAAGCAAGUAGGAGAUCUUACUAGGCACAGAUCUUUCUGUAUCUUUGCUACUUUACAGAAGUGCUGGAGGAAUAAAACUGGCUAGUUCCCAUGGCCAGAUGAUGGCCACGUCAGACAAUGGAUUCCUGGUAUGGAUGCAGUUACUGACCAUUUAUGUCCACAGAUUCAGUAUCCAUGGUGCCCACUAGCCAUGGCUUGAAAAUAUGUUUUCCCUCUCCCCAAAGCAAACAACCUUUGAUUUUUGUCUUUUAAGGGACUCUAUUUCACAAUGCAUAUAAUAAAAAUUUGAGCAUCCAUGGAUUUUGGUAUCCAUGGGCAGACCUGGAGCCCAUGCAUUAUGGGCAAUCAUUUGUGGCCGAGUAUGAUUAUUUUCCAAAGGUAGAGUUGUGGCAGUAGAUCUGUAAAUGAUUGUGAUGGACCUCUUCUGGGUUCACUUAGUCUUUCACAUUGAGGACAUAUAUUUCCAAAUUGAAGGUUAUCAUGACAAGGAUCUGCUGGACAUGCCUUCCUCUUCAAAAUUCAUGUUGCUGUUGGUAACACCUGAUCUCCAGUAACAAUACUUGAGUGCCAGGGCUUUCCAGUUCUUUGUGAUUAUAUCAAUUUUUUUAAGGUUAGCUAUAGACCCAUCUUUAAAUCUCUUUUUUUUUGUCCACCGAUAUUCUGUUUUUGAACUGAGAGUAAAGGAACUACUUUGGGAGAGGCUGAUUGGGCAUUUAGACAACGUGGUCAGUCCAGCAAAGCUGUUGGUGGAGAGUCAUUCUUUCGAUGCUGGUGGUCUUUGCUUCUUCCAGAACACUGACAUUUGUCUGCCUGUCUUCCCAAGAGAUUUGCAGAAUUUUUUGAAGGCAGUGCUGAUGGAACCUUUCCAGAAGUUGAGAAUGAUGCUUGUCAACAGUCCAUGUUUUGCAGGGGUACAAUAGAGCUGGAAGAACUUUAUAAACAAAUACAGUAGAGUCUCACUUAUCCAACAUAAAUGGGCCGGCAGAAUGUUGGAUAAGCGAAUAUGUUGGAUAAUAAGGAGGCAUUAAGGAAAUGUCUAUUAAACAUCAAAUUAGGUUAUGAUUUUACAAAUUAAGCAGCAAAACAUCAUGUUAUACAACAAAUUUGACAGAAAAAGUAGUUCAAUAUGCAGUAAUGCUAUGUAGUAAUUACUGUAUUUACGAAUUUAGCACCAAAAUAUCAUGAUGUAUUGAAAACAUUGACUACAAAAAUGCGUUGGAUAAUCCAGAACGUUGGCUAAGCGAGUGUUGGAUAAGUGAGACUCCACUGUAUUUUGGUAUUCCUAUGAAUGUUUUGAUCCUUGAACACACUAUGCUUCAUUAAAAAAAUAACCUGGAACCAAAUCCCAGCCAAUACAAAGAAUCUAUAAUAAAAUCAAUGUAUUGUGAGAUUAUA
This is a long non-coding RNA of Anolis carolinensis (green anole), 2136 nucleotides long. RefSeq lists it as uncharacterized. Lineage: Eukaryota; Metazoa; Chordata; Lepidosauria; Squamata; Anolidae. The record is from RefSeq and is a predicted model, not a curated record. The transcript is spliced from 2 exons.